RNAcentral lists this transfer RNA (72 nucleotides) under Eupodium kaulfussii. RNAcentral's name for it is "tRNA-Asn". It matches the Rfam family "tRNA". Rfam says of the family: Transfer RNA (tRNA) molecules are approximately 80 nucleotides in length. Their secondary structure includes four short double-helical elements and three loops (D, anti-codon, and T loops). Further hydrogen bonds mediate the characteristic L-shaped molecular structure. tRNAs have two regions of fundamental functional importance: the anti-codon, which is responsible for specific mRNA codon recognition, and the 3' end, to which the tRNAs corresponding amino acid is attached (by aminoacyl-tRNA synthetases). tRNAs cope with the degeneracy of the genetic code in two manners: having more than one tRNA (with a specific anti-codon) for a particular amino acid; and 'wobble' base-pairing, i.e. permitting non-standard base-pairing at the 3rd anti-codon position. RNAcentral also lists the same sequence under 2 other names. The record is from RNAcentral. Lineage: Eukaryota; Viridiplantae; Streptophyta; Polypodiopsida; Marattiales; Marattiaceae.
UCCUCGGUAGCUCAGCGGUAGAGCGGUCGGCUGUUAACCGAUUGGUCGUAGGUUCAAACCCUAUCCGGGGAG